GGGCUGCAGUAUUUUGACUGUACAAAGGUAGCAUAAUCAAUAGUCUCUUAAUUGGUGACUUGUAUGAAAGAUUGGAUGAGAUAUAAACUGUCUCUAAUUAAUUUAUAGAAAUUAAUUUUUUAGUUAAAAAGCUAAAAUAAUUUUAAAAGACGAGAAGACCCUAUAGAGUUUAAUAAUUUAUUUAAUUAUUAUUAUUAUAUAAUUUUUAAAAUUAAAAUUGAAUAAAUUAUUUUGUUGGGGUGAUAAAAAAAUUAAAUUAACUUUUUUUAUUUUUUUUUACAUUAAUUUAUGAAUAAAUGAUCCAAUAAUAGUGAUAAUAAGAAAAAAUUACCUUAGGGAUAACAGCGUAAUUUUUUUUUUUAGUUCAAAUAGGAAAAAAAGUUUGCGACCUCGAUGUUGGAUUAA
RNAcentral lists this ribosomal RNA (405 nucleotides) under Papilio nephelus chaon. RNAcentral's name for it is "partial 16S ribosomal RNA". Lineage: Eukaryota; Metazoa; Arthropoda; Insecta; Lepidoptera; Papilionidae. The record is from RNAcentral.